Salmo salar (Atlantic salmon) is the source of this 228-nucleotide non-coding RNA. The record is from RefSeq and is a predicted model, not a curated record. NCBI's taxonomy places the organism in Eukaryota, Metazoa, Chordata, Actinopteri, Salmoniformes, Salmonidae.
CCUUCUCAAGAGGAAGUAUAGAUGGUUAGAGAGGAGAGGUGGGUGGGUGGGGGGAUGGACAGGCUACAAGUCACUAGAGUUUAGAUACAGUUAGUGAUCGACACGUUGAGAUGGAACGCACCUGUCUUCUACUCUUGCUGUUGAGUACACUGGUAUACUGUAGCCUCGGACAAGGUGGAGAUCUCUCUCCUCCAGCCUCUCUGAGCGUCAGUCCUGACAGAUCUCAGU